This is a long non-coding RNA of Esox lucius (northern pike), 1108 nucleotides long. Lineage: Eukaryota; Metazoa; Chordata; Actinopteri; Esociformes; Esocidae. The record is from Ensembl.
GUGUGUGUGUGUGUGUGUGCCCACAUGUUUACUGCUACAUAAUGAAAGUUGAAGAUUCAGCAGUCCAAAUGAACUUGGUGUUAUGAGUUAACAUUCCUCUGGAUGAGGUCUCCCCUCAAUUAUCUAUGUGUGUGUUCGUGUGUUUGUUUGUGUGUAUAUGUAUACGUGUGUGUUUGUUUGAGAGAGAGGAUUUAUCUUAGAUAUUGUAUACAGCUCCGGAAAAAAUUUAAAGACCAUUGAAAGUUUAUCCUUUUCAACUUUUAGGGAAAAUAAAGAAAAAGGUGCAUUGGUCUCUUAAUUUUUUCCAGAGUUGGAUGUGUGUGUUUGCGUGCAUGUGUGUGUACGGAAUUUAUUAUGCUAUUGGGGACAGAAAAGCUUUGCAAGGAUAGUAAAACAAGGAAAAAUACUUUUUGGCUUAAGGGUUCGGUUUAGGGUAAAAGUUCACAUUUUUGUUAGGAUUAGCAUUAGGGUUGUGGUUUCGGGUUAAGGUUAGGUUUUCAAGUUAUGGAAACUACCACUUUUAAUGGAAACAACUGUGUCCCCGUCAGGAUAGAACAGAUGAAAUGUUUAUGAUUGUGUGUAUAAUUAAUCAAUAAAGUGUAAAAGGGUGUGGUAUAUGGCCAAUAUACCGCAGCUAAGAGCUGUUCUUAGGCACGAUGCACCGCGGAGUGCCUAGACACAGCACUAUGUCGUGGUGUAUUGACAAUAAACCACAAACCCCCAAGAAUUGCCAUUAUGAAACAGUCAACAACACAAUGAAUACCAUAAAAAGUAAAUCAUUGUAAUUGAAAAUAAAAAGAUAUGCCUUUGUGUGUGUACAUGUGUGCGUGUGUGUGUGUGUGUGUGUGUGUGUGUGUGUGCGCGUGCAUGUUAAUUAGGGUGACAUGCUCUGUCUAGACACUGUGAUGACAGGACAUGCAGCCCCCCUGUUUAGUGGGCCCUCCCUCUGCUUCCCCCUGCCCCCUCAGCCAUGACCAAUACACUCUGCUAUCACCUGCCACACACACAAAGAUAAAUAUUUCUAUUCUCAAUUAAAAUGAUGUAUUUGAUGUACGAGUGGGUGAAAUGUGGCAUGAUCAUGUCUGAAUAAAGUUAAUAUUAAAAGCGG